UUUCGACACACUAUCAUUAACUGAAUCCAUAGGUUAAUGAGGCGAACCGGGGGAACUGAAACAUCUAAGUACCCCGAGGAAAAGAAAUCAACCGAGAUUCCCCCAGUAGCGGCGAGCGAACGGGGAGGAGCCCAGAGCCUGAAUCAGUGUGUGUGUUAGUGGAAGCGUCUGGAAAGGCGCGCGAUACAGGGUGACAGCCCCGUACACAAAAAUGCACAUAUUGUGAGCUCGAUGAGUAGGGCGGGACACGUGGUAUCCUGUCUGAAUAUGGGGGGACCAUCCUCCAAGGCUAAAUACUCCUGACUGACCGAUAGUGAACCAGUACCGUGAGGGAAAGGCGAAAAGAAC
This 348-nucleotide ribosomal RNA is filed under the name Escherichia coli. RNAcentral describes it as "partial 23S ribosomal RNA". It matches the Rfam family "Bacterial large subunit ribosomal RNA", at positions 138 to 524 of the family's 2925-position model. Lineage: Bacteria; Pseudomonadati; Pseudomonadota; Gammaproteobacteria; Enterobacterales; Enterobacteriaceae. The record is from RNAcentral.